Molecule: ribosomal RNA, 486 nt
Filed under: Phellinus igniarius
Lineage: Eukaryota; Fungi; Basidiomycota; Agaricomycetes; Hymenochaetales; Hymenochaetaceae
Description: bacterial SSU rRNA
Rfam family: Eukaryotic small subunit ribosomal RNA
Source: RNAcentral
CUGAUCCCGAUAUCGAACGACACCUUAAGCUGCUAAAGAGCCAGGCCGGCUUUCGCUGGUCGCCGGCUUCUUAGGAGGGACUGUCAGCGUUUAGCCGACGGAAGUUUGAGGCAAUAACAGGUCUGUGAUGCCCUUAGAUGUUCUGGGCCGCACGCGCGCUACACUGACAGAGCCAGCGAGUUCUUUUCCUUGGCCGGAAGGGCCUGGGUAAUCUUGUGAAAAUCUGUCGUGCUGGGGAUAGAACAUUGCAAUUAUUGGUUUUCAACGAGGAAUUCCUAAUAAGCGUGAGUCAUCAGCUCGCGUUGAUUACCUCCCUGCCCUUUGUACACACCGCCCGUCGCUACUACCGAUUGAAUGGGUUAAUGAGGCCUUCGGAUUGGCUUGGGGAACCGGCAACGGCACCCUGGAGCUGAGAAGUCGGUCAAACUUGGUCAUUUAGAGGAAGUAAAAGUCGUAACAAGGUUUACGUGGUGAACCUGCGGAAGG